UACGUAGGGACCGAGCGUUGUCCGGAAUCAUUGGGCGUAAAGAGCGUGUAGGCGGCUUGCUAAGUCUUGCGUGAAAUCUCGGGGCUCAACCCCGAGCGGUCGUGGGAAGCUGGCAGGCUAGAGUGCGGGAGAGGAGAAUGGAAUUCCUGGUGUAGCGGUGAAAUGCGCAGAUAUCAGGAAGAACACCCGUGGCGAAGGCGGUUCUCUGGAACGCAACUGACGCUGAGACGCGAAAGCGUGGGGAGCAAACAGG
RNAcentral lists this ribosomal RNA (253 nucleotides) under uncultured bacterium. Its description in RNAcentral is "partial 16S ribosomal RNA". It matches the Rfam family "Bacterial small subunit ribosomal RNA", at positions 524 to 776 of the family's 1533-position model. The record is from RNAcentral.